This 546-nucleotide ribosomal RNA is filed under the name uncultured fungus. RNAcentral's name for it is "eukaryotic LSU rRNA". The stretch from base 202 to 355 matches the Rfam family "5.8S ribosomal RNA". The record is from RNAcentral. Lineage: Eukaryota; Fungi.
AAGUCGUAACAAGGUCUCCGUAGGUGAACCUGCGGAGGGAUCAUUACAAGAACGCCCGGGCUUCGGCCUGGUUAUUCAUAACCCUUUGUUGUCCGACUCUGUUGCCUCCGGGGCGACCCUGCCUUCGGGCGGGGGCUCCGGGUGGACACUUCAAACUCUUGCGUAACUUUGCAGUCUGAGUAAACUUAAUUAAUAAAUUAAAACUUUUAACAACGGAUCUCUUGGCUCUGGCAUCGAUGAAGAACGCAGCGAAAUGCGAUAAGUAAUGUGAAUUGCAGAAUUCAGUGAAUCAUCGAAUCUUUGAACGCACAUUGCGCCCUCUGGUAUUCCGGAGGGCAUGCCUGUUCGAGCGUCAUUUCACCACUCAAGCCUCGCUUGGUAUUGGGCAACGCGGUCCGCCGCGUGCCUCAAAUCGUCCGGCUGGGUCUUCUGUCCCCUAAGCGUUGUGGAAACUAUUCGCUAAAGGGUGUUCGGGAGGCUACGCCGUAAAACAACCCCAUUUCUAAGGUUGACCUCAGAUCAGGUAGGAAUACGCGCUGAACUUAA